GGCAAAAAAUAAUAAAGAAAUAUUUAAGUUUUUCAUUUAACUUUGCUUUCAAUAGAAAUACCUACAUAUGUACAGUAGCGGACAAAGAAAUCCGGACAACCGGAGAGCUUGUAUUUAAAACACAAUUGUAACCUACAAAUAUAAUUUUCUGCGGAAAGGUUUAUUCUUUCGCAUAAAUUAGUGCUCUGUACACGUUUUAUGACUUUUAGUUUUUUCAAUAGCUUCAAAGAUUGUUUUGUGCUCGUGCUUAGUUAAAGCUUAAAUAUGCCAAAUUAAUGUUUUGCUUUUGCGAAAAGAAAAUCUGACCAUUCGGGUAAUUAGUGAUAGAGUUGGCUUCAGCAAGUCUUCCAUUGGAGAAUUUCUAAAAAAUUUCGAUAAAACCAGGUCUCUUAAGAGAAAAACUGGCUCUGGAGCAAAGAAGAAGUCAAUAGAACGUAUUAGCUUGAGGGAUCGCUUCAAAACUGCUGAGGACAUUAAAGUGGAGUUAUUUGAAGUUGUCGGUUCGGAAGUUAGUGCAAGAACUGUUCUUYGAAGGCUUCGAGAUGUUGGUUUGAAUGCUCGUCGAGCCGCUAAAAAACCACUCUUAACCCCAGAAAUGCGUCAAAACCGUUUACGAUGGGCAAGAGAACAUCAAAAUUGGACUCAACUUGAUUGACGAAAUGUAGUCUUCUCAGACGAGUCUAAAUUUAACCUUUUUUCCGCGACGGUAUGUCCUACGUGAGAAGGAGAACUAGUGAGCGGUUCAAGGACGAAUGUGUUCAAAAGCAGGGAAGCAGCCGAGUGGUCGGGUUUCUUUUUCUACUAUGACCUUGGACAACUACCCCUAAUAGAAGGAACAAUCAAUGGGAAUAAGUAUCAGGAGAUACUUCAAACAAAUUUAAUACUCUCAAUGGAAAACCAGGAUGACUGCGACCUGCCACCGUGCCAAAAUAGUUUUUUAUAAUUUAUUUAUAAAAAAUUGCGGUCUCGACUUUGGAGUGGCCAGGAAAUAAUCCGGAACUCAAUCCCAUUGAAAACCUUUGGUUUAGAAUGAAGGCUUAGGUAGCACAGAAGAGGCCAAAGAAUUUAACAGACUUAGAAGGAAUUGGGGCAGUAACAAUAAAAAUSUUCAUAAAUUCAAUGCCGGAGUGUAUAAAAGACAUUAUAAUUAGCAAAGGAGGUUUGACAAAAUACUAAAACGAGUGUAUUUGUAUAGAUGAAUAUUUCCUUUAAGUAAAACUAUAAAAGCAUUUCUCUAAUGUAAACAAAAAAAAAAAAAAGAGAUCGCUGUUUACAUUACUAGUUACCAAAAUGAUACAAUAUCUAAAAUGAAUUAAAACAAAAUGUUAUAAGUGCAA
This is a long non-coding RNA of Bactrocera latifrons, 1337 nucleotides long. RefSeq lists it as uncharacterized. NCBI's taxonomy places the organism in Eukaryota, Metazoa, Arthropoda, Insecta, Diptera, Tephritidae. The record is from RefSeq and is a predicted model, not a curated record. The transcript has 2 exons.